AAAACUGACCGAGUAAAUGUGAAUAUUUUUUCACUUGAACACUCUGAUCUGUUUGGAACUUAAUUUCCUUACUCAUGAAAUUAAUAUAAUAAGGCUAAGUUGGUCAGUAGUUAAACUAACUAAAUUUGGCUGAAGAUUGCUAUGUUCACUAUGCAAAGAUUAGACCGUUAGUUCCCUGAGUGAAGAGAUGCUAUCUUGGUAUCUCCAGCUUCCAACCGGGGGCUUGGCACAGAAUAGGGGCUUGGUAAAUGUUUUCCAAAUGAAUGGGAUGUCUGAUGGAAAGAAGACAAGGUGAAGGAAUUCCUGGGUAAUAUGGAGAUGAGAAUCUGUGAGAAGGAUACAUGUACUGAUGCCUGUCGCGGUGGACACACAGACGCACACAUUGCGGAACACCACCAUAAGAAUAUUGAGAAUAUCGAGAACACUUCAAUAUUCCAAACUUCAAUGGAAAUAUACAUGCUGUAAAAUUUCAAAUUCAUGCUCCACUUCUUAUAAAAGAAAUCCAGCAGCUUAAGGGUAGAAGAAAGAUAACAGGAGUCUGUCCCUUCGGCCAAAGAGUUUCUUUUCAAAGUUCGUGGUGGCAGCCUGAUGUCAGCUGGGGAAGAAGCUCCAUUCUUUUUCUGGCAGAACUGACUUCUUUGCGGGAGAGCUGUGGCAGCCCCUUUGCUUAUUCCCAGCAUGGAAAGACCACAAGAUCCCUGCUCCUUAUGGCUCUGGCAUGCAAUGCACUCCCUAGAGGGACCCCUUACAAGGCUACCAAUAACCUAUCAGCACCUCCAACUC
RNAcentral lists this long non-coding RNA (783 nucleotides) under Homo sapiens (human). Its description in RNAcentral is "HSALNT0352736". The record is from RNAcentral. Lineage: Eukaryota; Metazoa; Chordata; Mammalia; Primates; Hominidae.